GCCUACAGCCAUACCACCCUGAAAGCGCCCGAUCUUGUCUGAUCUCGGAAGCUAAGCAGGGACGGGCCUGGUUUGUACCUGGAUGGGAGACCACCUUGGAAUACCAGGUGUUGUAGGCU
This is a non-coding RNA of Xenopus tropicalis (tropical clawed frog), 119 nucleotides long. The record is from Rfam. Lineage: Eukaryota; Metazoa; Chordata; Amphibia; Anura; Pipidae.